This 354-nucleotide unclassified non-coding RNA is filed under the name uncultured fungus. Its description in RNAcentral is "partial contains small subunit ribosomal RNA, internal transcribed spacer 1, and 5.8S ribosomal RNA". The stretch from base 1 to 73 matches the Rfam family "Eukaryotic small subunit ribosomal RNA", at positions 1759 to 1831 of the family's 1831-position model. Lineage: Eukaryota; Fungi. The record is from RNAcentral.
GCAAACUUGGUCAUUUAGAGGAAGUAAAAGUCGUAACAAGGUUUCCGUAGGUGAACCUGCGGAAGGAUCAUUAUUGAAAAAUAUUGGUUUGUAUUGUUGCUGGCUUGUAAAGCAUGUGCACAUACUCUCCAUUUUUUUUCUUUAAACCACAUGUGAACGCUUUGUAGACCUGGGAUCUUUUCAAACCUCUUGUUUGGAGUAUAUCGGAUUGCUGGAACAAAUGUGACUGGCUUUUCUCCGCUUGGGUCUAUAGAUUUAUAAACUAUCCAAUGUGUAUGAAUGCUGUGAAUAUAAAAACAUAAUACAACUUUCAACAACGGAUCUCUUGGCUCUCGCAUCGAUGAAGAACGCAGC